RNAcentral lists this ribosomal RNA (506 nucleotides) under uncultured bacterium. Its description in RNAcentral is "partial 16S ribosomal RNA". It matches the Rfam family "Bacterial small subunit ribosomal RNA", at positions 30 to 523 of the family's 1533-position model. The record is from RNAcentral.
AUUGAACGCUGGCGGAAUGCUUUACACAUGCAAGUCGAACGGCAGCACAGAAGAGCUUGCUCUUUGGGUGGCGAGUGGCGGACGGGUGAGUAAUGUCUGGGAAACUGCCCGAUGGAGGGGGAUAACUACUGGAAACGGUAGCUAAUACCGCAUAACGUCGCAAGACCAAAGUGGGGGACCUUCGGGCCUCACACCAUCGGAUGUGCCCAGAUGGGAUUAGCUAGUAGGUGGGGUAAUGGCUCACCUAGGCGACGAUCCCUAGCUGGUCUGAGAGGAUGACCAGCCACACUGGAACUGAGACACGGUCCAGACUCCUACGGGAGGCAGCAGUGGGGAAUAUUGCACAAUGGGCGCAAGCCUGAUGCAGCCAUGCCGCGUGUAUGAAGAAGGCCUUCGGGUUGUAAAGUACUUUCAGCGGGGAGGAAGGCGGUGAGGUUAAUAACCUUGCCGAUUGACGUUACCCGCAGAAGAAGCACCGGCUAACUCCGUGCCAGCCGCCGCCGUAA